This 498-nucleotide ribosomal RNA is filed under the name Haloferax volcanii. RNAcentral's name for it is "bacterial SSU rRNA". It matches the Rfam family "Archaeal small subunit ribosomal RNA", at positions 330 to 826 of the family's 1478-position model. The record is from RNAcentral. Lineage: Archaea; Methanobacteriati; Methanobacteriota; Halobacteria; Halobacteriales; Haloferacaceae.
GUGCAGCAGGCGCGAAACCUUUACACUGCACGCAAGUGCGAUAAGGGGACCCCAAGUGCGAGGGCAUAUAGUCCUCGCUUUUCUCGACUGUAAGGCGGUCGAGGAAUAAGAGCUGGGCAAGACCGGUGCCAGCCGCCGCGGUAAUACCGGCAGCUCAAGUGAUGACCGAUAUUAUUGGGCCUAAAGCGUCCGUAGCCGGCCACGAAGGUUCAUCGGGAAAUCCGCCAGCUCAACUGGCGGGCGUCCGGUGAAAACCACGUGGCUUGGGACCGGAAGGCUCGAGGGGUACGUCCGGGGUAGGAGUGAAAUCCCGUAAUCCUGGACGGACCACCGAUGGCGAAAGCACCUCGAGAAGACGGAUCCGACGGUGAGGGACGAAAGCUAGGGUCUCGAACCGGAUUAGAUACCCGGGUAGUCCUAGCUGUAAACGAUGCUCGCUAGGUGUGACACGAGGCUACGAGCCUGUGUUGUGCCGUAGGGAAGCCGAGAAGCGAGCCG